This 254-nucleotide ribosomal RNA is filed under the name uncultured bacterium. RNAcentral describes it as "partial 16S ribosomal RNA". It matches the Rfam family "Bacterial small subunit ribosomal RNA", at positions 524 to 776 of the family's 1533-position model. The record is from RNAcentral.
UACGGGGGGGGGCAAGCGUUGUCCGGAAUCAUUGGGCGUAAAGAGCGUGUAGGCGGCCCGGUAAGUCCGCUGUGAAAGUCCAGGGCUCAACCCUGGGAUGCCGGUGGAUACUGUCGGGCUCGAGUCCGGAAGAGGAGUGUGGAAUUCCUGGUGUAGCGGUGAAAUGCGCAGAUAUCAGGAGGAACACCAAUGGCGAAGGCAGCACUCUGGGACGUGACUGACGCUGAGACGCGAAAGCGUGGGGAGCAAACAGG